Molecule: ribosomal RNA, 255 nt
Filed under: uncultured bacterium
Lineage: Bacteria
Description: partial 16S ribosomal RNA
Rfam family: Bacterial small subunit ribosomal RNA
Source: RNAcentral
CGUGAGAUGUUGGGUUAAGUCCCGCAACGAGCGCAACCCCUAUCCUUUGUUGCCAGCACGUAAUGGUGGGAACUCAAAGGAGACUGCGCGGACAAACGCGGAGGAAGGCGGGGAUGACGUCAAGUCAUCAUGCCCCUUAUGUCCUGGGCUACACACGUACUACAAUGGGAUGGACAGAGAGCAGCGAAGCCGCGAGGCCAAGCGAACCCCAUAAACCAUCUCCCAGUUCGGAUUGCAGGCUGCAACCCGCCUGCA